This is a long non-coding RNA of Onychomys torridus (southern grasshopper mouse), 858 nucleotides long. RefSeq lists it as uncharacterized. The record is from RefSeq and is a predicted model, not a curated record. NCBI's taxonomy places the organism in Eukaryota, Metazoa, Chordata, Mammalia, Rodentia, Cricetidae. The transcript is spliced from 5 exons.
GACAACCCCAGCAUGACCCUAGGACUGCCAGCAGCUGAUACAUACGGGCUUCAUUCAAAUUCAGAUCUUUCCCUUUGAGACUCCCGACAAGCCUAGCUAAUCUGAGCAAAUAACUUGCAGGCCACAUGGAGACAAAGAUCUUCCCCCAGAAGCAUGGGCUUGUUGCUUUGCAGUGCUGGUGACCUAUUCCCUUUGAAGAUCCCUAGGUUGAGAUGGGGCAUGAGGAUCCUCCAGGGGAAUAGCUCACCACCACUGGGCAACAGCCCUAGCCCAAGGGGUUUUAGUGAGACACUUUGCUGAACCCAGCAAGGAAGAUAGAGUCAAAGACAGCCACCCUACAUCAAAAUAGGAGAAAAGCUGCCACAGUAGUGGUACUGACUUCACGAGCAAGUCAUUCUGUUUCAUCUAGUUCUCAAAGCCUCCCUGGGAGCUCUGUAGGAGAACGUUACCAGCUGUUUACACAUCUCAAGAUUCAUUGUGCUACCGGCCCAAUAGGAUAUACACUCCAUCUACUAAAUCAUCAUCCUUCCUCAAAGCAGCACAGAAAGCUGGAUCUUCAGUGGGAUCACAAAAUGUGAACACACGAAAGGAAGUCAGUUUUAUGACCCACGGAUCAACAUGGCUGCAUCUUAAAACCACAGAAUGAAUGUGUAUUGUGUUGUGUGUCUUCAUUGUUUUAUGCAUCUAUUUCUUCCUUGCUUUGUGUGUCUAAUUCUUCUUCAGUGUAUCUGUUUGUUCCUUGCUUUGUGUGUCUAAUUUUUCUUUCAUGUAUAUCUAUUUCUUCCUUGCUUUGUGUGUCUAAUUCUUCUUAGAUGUUUCUAUUUCUUCCUUGCUUAUACAUCUUCCUUCCUUCCUCUU